This is a non-coding RNA of Ornithorhynchus anatinus (platypus), 72 nucleotides long. The record is from Rfam. NCBI's taxonomy places the organism in Eukaryota, Metazoa, Chordata, Mammalia, Monotremata, Ornithorhynchidae.
AGCAGCGUGGCUCAGUGGAAAGAGCCCGGGCUUGGGAGUCAGAGGGCAUGGGUUCGAAUCCCAGCCCUGCCA